This 461-nucleotide ribosomal RNA is filed under the name uncultured bacterium. RNAcentral's name for it is "partial 16S ribosomal RNA". It matches the Rfam family "Bacterial small subunit ribosomal RNA", at positions 29 to 507 of the family's 1533-position model. The record is from RNAcentral.
ACGCACGCUGGCGGCGUGCUUAACACAUGCCAGUCGCACGGUGAAGCCCUUCGGUGUGGAUCAGUGGCGAACGGGUGAGUAACACGUGAGCAACCUGCCCCUGGCUCUGGGACAACCACUGGAAACGGUGGCUAAUACCGGAUACGACCCGCCUCGGCAUCGAGUGUGGGUGGAAAGUUUUUCGGCUGGGGAUGGGCUCGCGGCCUAUCAGCUUGUUGGUGAGGUGAAGGCUCACCAAGGCGACGACGGGUAGCCGGCCUGAGAGGGCGACCGGCCACACUGGGACUGAGACACGGCCCAGACUCCUACGGGAGGCAGCAGUGGGGAAUAUUGCACAAUGGGCGAAAGCCUGAUGCAGCGACGCCGCGUGAGGGAUGACGGCCUUCGGGUUGUAAACCUCUUUCAGCUCCGAAGAAGCGAAAGUGACGGUAGGAGCAGAAGAAGCACCGGCUAACUACGUG